Molecule: ribosomal RNA, 322 nt
Filed under: uncultured bacterium
Lineage: Bacteria
Description: bacterial SSU rRNA
Rfam family: Bacterial small subunit ribosomal RNA
Source: RNAcentral
CCUGGCUCAGGAUGAACGCUAGCGGCAGGCCUAACACAUGCAAGUCGAGGGAGAAGCCCUUUCGGGGGCAGAAACCGGCGCACGGGUGCGUAACGCGUAUGCAACCUACCUUUCACAGGGGGAUAGCCCGAAGAAAUUUGGAUUAAUACCCCAUAAUAUUGUUGGAUGGCAUCAUCUGGCAAUUAAAACUGCGGUGGUGAAAGAUGGGCAUGCGUCCUAUUAGCUAGUUGGAGUGGUAACGGCACCCAAGGCUACGAUAGGUAGGGGUCCUGAGAGGUUGAACCCCCACACUGGUACUGAGACACGGACCAGACUCCUACGG